RNAcentral lists this ribosomal RNA (1249 nucleotides) under Cronobacter sakazakii. RNAcentral's name for it is "partial 23S ribosomal RNA". It matches the Rfam family "Bacterial large subunit ribosomal RNA", at positions 1570 to 2801 of the family's 2925-position model. RNAcentral also lists the same sequence under 1 other name. Lineage: Bacteria; Pseudomonadati; Pseudomonadota; Gammaproteobacteria; Enterobacterales; Enterobacteriaceae. The record is from RNAcentral.
CGAGGCACCACGGUGCUGAAGUGACAAAUGCCCUGCUUCCAGGAAAAGCCUCUAAGCAUCAGGUAACAUCAAAUCGUACCCCAAACCGACACAGGUGGUCAGGUAGAGAAUACCAAGGCGCUUGAGAGAACUCGGGUGAAGGAACUAGGCAAAAUGGUGCCGUAACUUCGGGAGAAGGCACGCUGACAUGUAGGUGAAGCCCCUGCGGGUGGAGCUGAAGUCAGUCGAAGAUACCAGCUGGCUGCAACUGUUUAUUAAAAACACAGCACUGUGCAAACACGAAAGUGGACGUAUACGGUGUGACGCCUGCCCGGUGCCGGAAGGUUAAUUGAUGGGGUUAUCGCAAGAGAAGCUCCUGAUCGAAGCCCCGGUAAACGGCGGCCGUAACUAUAACGGUCCUAAGGUAGCGAAAUUCCUUGUCGGGUAAGUUCCGACCUGCACGAAUGGCGUAAUGAUGGCCAGGCUGUCUCCACCCGAGACUCAGUGAAAUUGAACUCGCUGUGAAGAUGCAGUGUACCCGCGGCAAGACGGAAAGACCCCGUGAACCUUUACUACAGCUUGACACUGAACAUUGAGCCUUGAUGUGUAGGAUAGGUGGGAGGCUUUGAAGCGUGGACGCCAGUCUGCGUGGAGCCAACCUUGAAAUACCACCCUUUAAUGUUUGAUGUUCUAACCUGGCGCCGUGAUCCGGCGUGGGGACAGUGUCUGGUGGGUAGUUUGACUGGGGCGGUCUCCUCCCAAAGUGUAACGGAGGAGCACGAAGGUCAGCUAAUCCUGGUCGGACAUCAGGAGGUUAGUGCAAUGGCAUAAGCUGGCUUGACUGCGAGAGUGACGGCUCGAGCAGGUGCGAAAGCAGGUCAUAGUGAUCCGGUGGUUCUGUAUGGAAGGGCCAUCGCUCAACGGAUAAAAGGUACUCCGGGGAUAACAGGCUGAUACCGCCCAAGAGUUCAUAUCGACGGCGGUGUUUGGCACCUCGAUGUCGGCUCAUCACAUCCUGGGGCUGAAGUAGGUCCCAAGGGUAUGGCUGUUCGCCAUUUAAAGUGGUACGCGAGCUGGGUUUAGAACGUCGUGAGACAGUUCGGUCCCUAUCUGCCGUGGGCGCUGGAGAAUUGAGGGGGGCUGCUCCCAGUACGAGAGGACCGGAGUGGACGCAUCACUGGUGUUCGGGUUGUCAUGCCAAUGGCACUGCCCGGUAGCUAAAUGCGGAAGAGAUAAGUGCUGAAAGCAUCUAAGCACGAAACUUGCCCCG